RNAcentral lists this ribosomal RNA (491 nucleotides) under uncultured bacterium. RNAcentral's name for it is "partial 16S ribosomal RNA". It matches the Rfam family "Bacterial small subunit ribosomal RNA", at positions 29 to 507 of the family's 1533-position model. The record is from RNAcentral.
GUGAACGCUGGCGGUAGGCCUAACCCAUGCAAGUCGAACGGCAGCACAGUAAGCGCUUGCUCUUACGGGUGGCGAGUGGCGGACGGGUGGGGAAUACAUCGGAAUCUACUUUUUCGUGAGGGAUAACGUAGGGAAACUUACGCUAAUACCGCAUACGACCUACGGGUGAAAGCAGGGGAUCUUCGGACCUUGCGCGAUUGAAUGAGCCGAUGUCGGAUUAGCUAGUUGGCGGGGUAAAGGCCCACCAAGGCGACGAUCCGUAGCUGGUCUGAGAGGAUGAUCAGCCACACUGGAACUGAGACACGUUCCAGACUCCUACGGGAGGCAGCAGUGGGGAAUAUUGGACCAUGGGCGCAAGCCUGAUCCAGCCAUACCGCGUGGGUGAAGAAGGCCUUCGGGUUGUAAGGCCCUUUUGUUGGGAAAGAAAAGCAGCAGGUUAAUACCCCGCUGUUCUGACGGUACCCAAAGAAUAAGCACCGGCUAACUUCGUG